ACGAACGCUAGCGGCGUGCUUAACCCAUGCAAGUCGAACGGAAAGGCCCCUUUGGGGGUACUCGAGUGGCGAACGGGUGAGUAACACGUGAGUAACCUGCCCUUGACUUCGGGAUAACUUCAGGAAACUGGGGCUAAUACCGGAUAGGAAUCCUUGCUGCAUGGUGGGGGUUGGAAAGCUUCGGCGGUUUUGGAUGGACUCGCGGCUUAUCAGCUUGUUGGUGGGGUAGUGGCUUACCAAGGCUUUGACGGGUAGCCGGCCUGAGAGGGCGACCGGCCACAUUGGGACUGAGAUACGGCCCAGACGCCUACGGGAGGCAGCAGUGGGGAAUAUUGCACAAUGGGCGGAAGCCUGAUGCAGCAACGCCGCGGGCGGGGUGACGGCCUUCGGGUUGUAAACCGCUUUCAGCAGGGGCGAAGCUUGUGGUGACGGUACCUGCAGAAGAAGCACCGGCUAACUACGUG
Molecule: ribosomal RNA, 464 nt
Filed under: uncultured bacterium
Lineage: Bacteria
Description: partial 16S ribosomal RNA
Rfam family: Bacterial small subunit ribosomal RNA
Source: RNAcentral